Molecule: ribosomal RNA, 497 nt
Filed under: uncultured bacterium
Lineage: Bacteria
Description: partial 16S ribosomal RNA
Rfam family: Bacterial small subunit ribosomal RNA
Source: RNAcentral
GAUGAACGCUGGCGGCGUGCCUAAUACAUGCAAGUCGAGCGAACAGAUGAGGAGCUUGCUCCUCUGACGUUAGCGGCGGACGGGUGAGUAACACGUGGAUAACCUACCUAUAAGACUGGGAUAACUUCGGGAAACCGGAGCUAAUACCGGAUAAUAUAUUGAACCGCAUGGUUCAAUAGUGAAAGACGGUUUUGCUGUCACUUAUAGAUGGAUCCGCGCCGCAUUAGCUAGGUGGUAAGGUAACGGCUUACCAAGGCAACGAUGCGUAGCCGACCUGAGAGGGUGAUCGGCCACACUGGAACUGAGACACGGUCCAGACUCCUACGGGAGGCAGCAGUAGGGAAUCUUCCGCAACGGGCGAAAGCCUGACGGAGCAACGCCGCGUGAGUGAUGAAGGUCUUCGGAUCGUAAAACUCUGUUAUUAGGGAAGAACAAAUGUGUAAGUAACUAUGCACGUCUUGACGGUACCUAAUCAGAAAGCCACGGCUAACUACGUG